GUAACACGUGGGUAACCUGCCUGUAAGACUGGGAUAACUCCGGGAAACCGGGGCUAAUACCGGAUGGUUGUCUGAACCGCAUGGUUCAGACAUAAAAGGUGGCUUCGGCUACCACUUACAGAUGGACCCGCGGCGCAUUAGUCUAGUUGUGUGAGGUAACGGCUCACCAAGGGCGACGAUGCGUAGCCGACCUGAGAGGGUGAUCGGCCACACUGGGACUGGAGACACGGCCCAGACUCCUACGGGAGGCAGCAGUAGGGAAUCUUCCGCAAUGGACGAAAGUCUGACGGAGCAACGCCGCGUGAGUGAUGAAGGUUUUCGGAUCGUAAAGCUCUGUUGUUAGGGAAGAACAAGUGCCGUUCAAAUAGGGCGGCACCUUGACGGUACCUAACCAGAAAGCCACGGCUAACUACGUGCCAGCAGCCGCGGUAAUACGUAGGUGGCAAGCGUUGUCCGGAAUUAUUGGGCGUAAAGGGCUCGCAGGCGGUUUCUUAAGUCUGAUGUGAAAGCCCCCGGCUCAACCGGGGAGGGUCAUUGGAAACUGGGGAACUUGAGUGCAGAAGAGGAGAGUGGAAUUCCACGUGUAGCGGUGAAAUGCGUAGAGAUGUGGAGGAACACCAGUGGCGAAGGCGACUCUCUGGUCUGUAACUGACGCUGAGGAGCGAAAAGCGUGGGGAGCGAACAGGAUUAUGAUUACCCUGGUAGUCCACGCCGUAAACGGAUGAGUGCUAAGUGUUAGGGGGUUUCCGCCCCUUAGUGCUGCAGCUAACGCAUUAAGCACUCCGCCUGGGGAGUACGGUCGCAAGACUGAAACUCAAAGGAAUUGACGGGGGCCCGCACAAGCGGUGGAGCAUGUGGUUUAAUUCGAAGCAACGCGAAGAACCUUACCAGGUCUUGACAUCCUCUGACAAUCCUAGAGAUAGGACGUCCCCUUCGGGGGCAGAGUGACAGGUGGUGCAUGGUUGUCGUCAGCUCGUGUCGUGAGAUGUUGGGUUAAGUCCCGCAACGAGCGCAACCCUUGAUCUUAGUUGCCAGCAUUCAGUUGGGCACUCUAAGGUGACUGCCGGUGACAAACCGGAGGAAGGUGGGGAUGACGUCAAAUCAUCAUGCCCCUUAUGACCUGGGCUACACACGUGCUACAAUGGACAGAACAAAGGGCAGCGAAACCGCGAGGUUAAGCCAAUCCCACAAAUCUGUUCUCAGUUCGGAUCGCAGUCUGCAACUCGACUGCGUGAAGC
RNAcentral lists this ribosomal RNA (1238 nucleotides) under Bacillus amyloliquefaciens. Its description in RNAcentral is "bacterial SSU rRNA". It matches the Rfam family "Bacterial small subunit ribosomal RNA", at positions 110 to 1326 of the family's 1533-position model. Lineage: Bacteria; Bacillati; Bacillota; Bacilli; Caryophanales; Bacillaceae. The record is from RNAcentral.